Molecule: RNase P RNA, 370 nt
Filed under: Cognatishimia maritima
Lineage: Bacteria; Pseudomonadati; Pseudomonadota; Alphaproteobacteria; Rhodobacterales; Paracoccaceae
Description: Thalassobius sp. GSW-6 Bacterial RNase P class A
Rfam family: Bacterial RNase P class A
About the family: Ribonuclease P (RNase P) is a ubiquitous endoribonuclease, found in archaea, bacteria and eukarya as well as chloroplasts and mitochondria. Its best characterised activity is the generation of mature 5'-ends of tRNAs by cleaving the 5'-leader elements of precursor-tRNAs.
Source: Rfam by way of RNAcentral
ACAGGGGGCUGGAUGGCCGCGGGGUAACCCGAGGAAAGUCCGGACUCCACAAGGCAAUGGUGCCGGGUAACGCCCGGCUGGGGUAACCCAAGGGAUAGCGCCACAGAGAAGAAACCGCCCUGCGCGUCAGGGUAAGGGUGAAACGGUGGAGUAAGAGCCCACCGCGGGACUGGCAACAGAACCGGCACGGCAAGCCCCACCAGGAGCAAUGCCAAAUAGGGACCGCGCGUGGGCAACCACAGGGGAGCUUUGCCCCGAGCAGGUCCGGGUUGGCAGCUAGAGGGCGCUUGGCAACAGGCGCUCAAGAUGAAUGGUCAUCCAAAGAGGGCAACCUCUUGGACAGAAUCCGGCUUAUAGGCCCCCUGUGUAA